RNAcentral lists this ribosomal RNA (528 nucleotides) under Alternaria tenuissima. RNAcentral's name for it is "eukaryotic LSU rRNA". The stretch from base 159 to 312 matches the Rfam family "5.8S ribosomal RNA". Lineage: Eukaryota; Fungi; Ascomycota; Dothideomycetes; Pleosporales; Pleosporaceae. The record is from RNAcentral.
UAUGAGGGCGGGCUGGACCUCUCGGGGUUACAGCCUUGCUGAAUUAUUCACCCUUGUCUUUUGCGUACUUCUUGUUUCCUUGGUGGGUUCGCCCACCACUAGGACAAACAUAAACCUUUUGUAAUUGCAAUCAGCGUCAGUAACAAAUUAAUAAUUACAACUUUCAACAACGGAUCUCUUGGUUCUGGCAUCGAUGAAGAACGCAGCGAAAUGCGAUAAGUAGUGUGAAUUGCAGAAUUCAGUGAAUCAUCGAAUCUUUGAACGCACAUUGCGCCCUUUGGUAUUCCAAAGGGCAUGCCUGUUCGAGCGUCAUUUGUACCCUCAAGCUUUGCUUGGUGUUGGGCGUCUUGUCUCUAGCUUUGCUGGAGACUCGCCUUAAAGUAAUUGGCAGCCGGCCUACUGGUUUCGGAGCGCAGCACAAGUCGCACUCUCUAUCAGCAAAGGUCUAGCAUCCAUUAAGCCUUUUUUUCAACUUUUGACCUCGGAUCAGGUAGGGAUACCCGCUGAACUUAAGCAUAUCAAUAAGCC